RNAcentral lists this ribosomal RNA (480 nucleotides) under Nycteromyces streblidinus. Its description in RNAcentral is "SSU rRNA". It matches the Rfam family "Eukaryotic small subunit ribosomal RNA", at positions 437 to 921 of the family's 1831-position model. The record is from RNAcentral. Lineage: Eukaryota; Fungi; Ascomycota; Laboulbeniomycetes; Laboulbeniales; Laboulbeniaceae.
CAAAUUACCCAAUCCUGACGCAGGGAGGUAGUGACAAGAAAUACUGAUACAGGGUCCUUUAGGGUCUUGUGAUUGGAAUGAGUACAAUUUAAACCCCUUAACGAGGAACAACUAAAGGGCAAGUCUGGUGCCAGCAGCCGCGGUAAUUCCAGCUUUAGUAGCAUACAUUAAAGUUGUUGCAGUUAAAACGCCCGUAGUUGAACGUUGGUUCUUGCCGGCCGGUCCGCCUCACCGCGAGCAUUGGUUUUGGCAGAACUUUUUUUUCUUGGAGAUCCGCAUGCCCUUUGCUGGGUGUGUAGGGGAACCAGGACUUUUACUUUGAAAAAAUUAGAGUGUUCAAAGCAGGCAUUAGCUCGAAUAUCUUAGCAUGGAAUAAUAAAAUAUGACAAGUGGUUAUUUUUUAUUGGUUAUAUAACCGUUGUAAUGAUUAAUAGGGAUAGUUGGGGGCAUCGGUAUUCAAUUGUCAGAGGUGAAAUUCUU